Non-coding RNA from Pelobates cultripes (western spadefoot toad), 358 nucleotides. The record is from the annotation of a GenBank genome assembly. NCBI's taxonomy places the organism in Eukaryota, Metazoa, Chordata, Amphibia, Anura, Pelobatidae.
GCGGUGUAGGUGGAAGUGGCGGUGGAGGAGGAGGUAGCCAACACUGUUUUUAUAUAUAUAUAUAUAUAUAUAUAUAUAUUAUUUUAUUUUAAUUGGGGUAGCCCCCAAAAAUAUUGGGACAUAUAAAAAAGACAACUCUGUUCCGCAGAGUAGCUGUUGACAUUAUAGUUAAACAGGCACUUUAUUGACUCUAGAGAACCUCGGGCCAAUCGAACAUCCCCGUGACGGCGACUUUGCAUUUGGAUGUCAUCCAUAUCAACUUUCGAUGCCAGUUUCUGCUCCUGCCAUGGUGACCACGGGUAACGGGGAAUCAGGGACCCUGAGAAACGGCUACCACAUGCAAGGAAGGCAGCAGGCG